AAGGGAGACCUAAUUCAGGUAUGGGACGAAAAAAAAGUAGUCGCUACCAAGAAUCAAUCCCAAAAGGUCGGAGCGAGGCGAAAUUGGCUUUCAAACUAGGUUCUGGGUUCACACAAGACCUGAAUCAGGAACAAGGGCUAUUAGCUCAGGUGGUUAGAGCGCACCCCUGAUAAGGGUGAGGUCCCUGGUUCGAGUCCAGGAUGGCCCACCUGCACAGGUGGCAAAAACAAAGAAAAAAAGCUCCGAAUCAGCACCUUAUCUUACUUAUACAGUAAGAGAGAAUGCUGGCUCUGAGUUCAGAGUUCAGAGGAACCUUGAAAACUGCAUAGAGCUAGGUGAAAAAGCCAAAAAAGAAGACCGCAA
This 363-nucleotide transfer RNA is filed under the name uncultured Microcystis sp. RNAcentral's name for it is "partial miscellaneous RNA". The stretch from base 135 to 208 matches the Rfam family "tRNA". Lineage: Bacteria; Bacillati; Cyanobacteriota; Cyanophyceae; Chroococcales; Microcystaceae. The record is from RNAcentral.